GACGAACGCUGGCGGCGUGCCUAAUACAUGCAAGUCGAGCGGACAAUUGAGAGCUUGCUCUCAAUUGUUAGCGGCGGACGGGUGAGUAACACGUGGGCAACCUGCCCUGUAGACUGGGAUAACUUCGGGAAACCGAAGCUAAUACCGGAUAAUCUUUAGCGUCACAUGGCGCAAAAGUAAAAGUUGGGUUUACCUAACACUACAGGAUGGGCCCGCGGCGCAUUAGCUAGUUGGUAAGGUAAUGGCUUACCAAGGCGACGAUGCGUAGCCGACCUGAGAGGGUGAUCGGCCACACUGGGACUGAGACACGGCCCAGACUCCUACGGGAGGCAGCAGUAGGGAAUCUUCCGCAAUGGACGAAAGUCUGACGGAGCAACGCCGCGUGAACGAUGAAGGCCUUCGGGUCGUAAAGUUCUGUUGUUAGGGAAAGAAACAAAGUACC
Molecule: ribosomal RNA, 442 nt
Filed under: Bacillus sp. oral taxon F14
Lineage: Bacteria; Bacillati; Bacillota; Bacilli; Caryophanales; Bacillaceae
Description: bacterial SSU rRNA
Rfam family: Bacterial small subunit ribosomal RNA
Source: RNAcentral